RNAcentral lists this long non-coding RNA (694 nucleotides) under Vigna radiata. RNAcentral describes it as "long non-coding RNA (VRAD_LNC004917)". Lineage: Eukaryota; Viridiplantae; Streptophyta; Magnoliopsida; Fabales; Fabaceae. The record is from RNAcentral.
UUAAUGUUCCAUCAUCUUUCUACAAUUUCUCGUGCAUCCUUUACCAUUACGCUUUCUUUAUUUUUAGUUUUAGAUAACUGCCAUGUACCUUUCAUUUCUUAGUUUAAGAAAAAUAAUUUUUAAUUCUUGCUGAAAUGUGAUUUUCUGCUUUAGUUCAACGUUGCAUUUUAAUAGCUUUAAUUAUGUCUGGAUAUUUAUCUAUUGCAUCGUUCAGUUUAAUGCUUUCAUGCACUUUAAUGCUUUCAAUUAUAUUCGGUUGUGUUUAAAUUUUCCUUUUUAAUUUUGUCAUUUACAUUCACAAAAUCUUUCAUCAAAACCCCCCACUGAGUGUCUGACCUAACUCUCGAACCACAUUUGGUCCUUGAGAGACGACCUAGGAGUCACUUCCUAGCUAUACUGCAUUUCUCAUAUGUAAUCAAAUUUGUAUGGGUUGCGAUUUUGGCGCCGUUGCCGGGGACCAACGGUUCGAUUUUAGGUCUUUUGUUGUGUUAGUGUGUGUUAUGUUUUGUCUUGUGUUGUGAGUGUGAUGUUCUGUUUUGUGUGUUCGUUUUUGUAUGUGUGUAUUGUGUGUUGCAUUUAGGUAGCUUUAGUUGCAUAUUUUCAUUACAUUCUUCUUUUUCCCCCUUCUUUCCCAUGUCUACCUAUUUUGGUUAUGCGGAUACUGCUUCUUUUUCUUGUGUCUAUGAUUAUGAUU